UACGGAGGGUGCAAGCGUUGUUCGGAAUCAUUGGGCGUAAAGCGCGUGUAGGCGGCUUGGUAAGUCAGUUGUGAAAGCCCGGGGCCCAACCCCGGAACUGCAUCUGAAACUGCUUGGCUCGAGUCCCGGAGAGGAAGGCAGAAUUCCCGGUGUAGGGGUGAAAUCCGUAGAUAUCGGGAGGAAUACCAGCGGCGAAGGCGGCCUUCUGGACGGUGACUGACGCUGAGACGCGAAAGCGUGGGGAGCAAACAGG
Molecule: ribosomal RNA, 253 nt
Filed under: uncultured bacterium
Lineage: Bacteria
Description: partial 16S ribosomal RNA
Rfam family: Bacterial small subunit ribosomal RNA
Source: RNAcentral